RNAcentral lists this transfer RNA (81 nucleotides) under Amniculicola lignicola CBS 123094. It matches the Rfam family "tRNA". Rfam says of the family: Transfer RNA (tRNA) molecules are approximately 80 nucleotides in length. Their secondary structure includes four short double-helical elements and three loops (D, anti-codon, and T loops). Further hydrogen bonds mediate the characteristic L-shaped molecular structure. tRNAs have two regions of fundamental functional importance: the anti-codon, which is responsible for specific mRNA codon recognition, and the 3' end, to which the tRNAs corresponding amino acid is attached (by aminoacyl-tRNA synthetases). tRNAs cope with the degeneracy of the genetic code in two manners: having more than one tRNA (with a specific anti-codon) for a particular amino acid; and 'wobble' base-pairing, i.e. permitting non-standard base-pairing at the 3rd anti-codon position. Lineage: Eukaryota; Fungi; Ascomycota; Dothideomycetes; Pleosporales; Amniculicolaceae. The record is from Rfam by way of RNAcentral.
GGCGCUUUGGCGGAGUGGUUAUCGCGCAAGCCUAGAAAGCUUGUUCCUUCGGGAGCGCAGGUUCGAGUCCUGCAGGCGUCG